This 1983-nucleotide long non-coding RNA is filed under the name Bemisia tabaci. RNAcentral describes it as "lncRNA ENSSSA2NGG013458". Lineage: Eukaryota; Metazoa; Arthropoda; Insecta; Hemiptera; Aleyrodidae. The record is from RNAcentral.
GUAACUUACAACGUAAAUGAAACUAAACUUGAGUUACAAGUUGAGGUUUGCACUUAACAAACCCCAGUUUUCAGAUUAAGCUAUUUAAAGUUAAACAUGCUGGUUUAGUGGCCCAAAAUUGUUGGAUUAAAUAUAAUUCUACGCUUUUCAUCUGCACUAAUGAUCGUAAAAACACCCAAUUAGGUUCCUGGAGUAACGCAGAGUGUUUUACAUCGAAAACUUAAAUUCCACAUUUUUGUGCCAAUUUGACAAUAAUUAUCGCAUUUGCAAAAUGUUUGCAUCAGAAUGGUGAUACAAAGAAAUUUCGCAAACAAAUGCAUUUAAAUAUAUUUUAGAAAUAAAUGUCACCUCUUGUGAAUUUUGGCAACAUGCAUAAUUAUGUCCAUACAGCGUUCUAACCAAAAACGAUUGGUGCCGAAUAUUCGACUUUCCUCCUCCUGACUGAACCAAGAUAAGGUUUUCUCGGCUUAAAAAAAUAGGAGCGUCUUCUCAAAGCGUUUUGUUGAUUCAUUCUUCUCGAAUUUUCUAAAAUCCGGUUUGGAAUCUUUUGGUUCACCACCAUCCCUCUUCUCCCCGAUCCAUCUAGAAAUUGUAUAAAAAGAAGACGAAAGUCUCAUUGUCUCACCAGUAAUUAAACGCAGUGUGUGAUUCUCCAUCAAACUCAUCAAACCCUCAUCAUGUUCAAGUUGGUCGUUGCUAUCUUCGCCGCAGUUGCCUCUUUGGCCUCCGCUCAAUACGCUCUCUAUAAUAACCAUGCCGCCUACCACCAUGGCGCUCCCGUAGGCUAUGCCGCUCACUCCGCCUACGCUGUCCCUGCCGCCCACUAUGCUGCCGCUCCCGUCGCCUACCACGCUGCUGCUCACACCGCCUACGCCGCUCAAUCCGCCUACGCUGUCCCUGCCGCCCACUAUGCUGCCGCUCCCGUAGCCCACCACGCUGCUGUUCAAACCGCCUAUGCUGCUCCUGCCGCCUACGCUGCUCCCACCGUUUAUCACACUGUCCCUGUCGCCCACCAUGGUGCUUCAGUCUCCCACCAUGGUUCCUCUGCCGCCCACCAUGGUGCUUCAGUCUCUCACCACGGUGCCUCCGUCUCCCACCAUGAUGGUUCAGUCUCCCACCAUGAUGUCUCAGUCUCCCACCACGCUGCCGGUGCCGAACACACCCCUGUCGUCUCCACCUACCAAGGCGCCCAUCAUCAAAACACAUACGUCAAGAAAUAAAUGGAGUAAGCCACAAUUUUCAUCUCGCAACCGCCAACUUGUUCCUUCAAUUAAAACUUAAAUUUCUGACAUGAAUAUUCUGAGUUAACUCUCAAUAGUAUAUAUUUCACCUACAUUUUUCCAUCACACCGCAAAAGUCCUAAAAUUUCAAUGAGAACAAAAAAUAAAAUGAAACAGAGUCAACAACAAAUCUGCGUUUUUUUAUUUUCCAGUUAUCAUCCAGAUACUUUUACUUGCAAAAAGUCGACACAUUGCGUAGUUUGACCGGCUCCAGUGGCGAGGAAUGAAUGGUUGAUUAUCGAAAUCUCUCCGUUUGAAGCUGUGGUGAAGAAUCGAUUAUUAAGGUGUUCGUUGCGAACACCCUCUUUAUCGAUACUUUUUCAUAGGUUUAAAUAGCAUAACAAUCGAUAUAUCGCAAUUCACGCCACGCCACUGGCCGGCUCUUAAGGUAUAUUUACAUACGGGAAAAUUCAAAUUUAAGGAAUAAGUAAUUUUCUCUUAUAAUAUUGAUAGCCUCAUACUUUCUUCAAUUUAGUCUUCUUGAUUUCCUAGAUUAUGCACGGAAUUAUGAAUUCAUAGAAUCAUGUUCCUCCUCAUUUGCAGCAUCAAAAACUUGAGAUGAAGUUGCAGAGAGCGAAUGGCAUGUCUGUGGCAGUGACGUGGUGUGAUUGCUAUAUAUCUAUUGAUCUGUCAUUUAAACCUAUGAAAAAGGAUCGAUGGGCGGAGUGUUCGCAACGAACACCUUAAUCAUCGAUUCUUUACC